Tetranychus urticae (two-spotted spider mite) is the source of this 3407-nucleotide non-coding RNA. NCBI's taxonomy places the organism in Eukaryota, Metazoa, Arthropoda, Arachnida, Trombidiformes, Tetranychidae. The record is from RefSeq and is a predicted model, not a curated record.
UCAACCCUAAACUGUUGAUUGAUUUCAUGGGAUUUAUCGAGCAAAAUACUUGAUCAAAGUGUUGUUUGGAUCAAAGCACUUAAAGUUCGUUGAAGCAGUUCAUUUAUACAUAAGAAGGUGAUUGUUGAUCAGCAUAAACAAACGCAAAAAAAGUCAAAUACAGAGCAUCUUCAUUGAGAUUGGGGAUCAAUGUUUUUUUUAUCAUGUUUUUUGCUCUUCUCUUCAUUUCAUCUGUUUGCUUGCAUUGACUUGAAACUAUCUGCCGGAAGGGUUCGAGUUAAUUAGAGCUUUUCUACAAAUGCUUGGACAAGUUGAGGUUAACCAAGGAAUACAAUUUGGUCAAUUCAAAUGUAAUCUUGAUGAAGCAGUUUUUUUGUUGCUGUUAAUAUUGCUGAUGUUAACUGAUUAAACCACUAACAGUAACAUACCAGAUGCAAUCAACUAUUCAACUGAAGAUAUCAAAAAAGUAAAACAUUUGUUGAUCAUCAUUGAUCCGAAUAAAGUGAACCACAACAUCAUGUAGGAAGAUGAUAUGAACAAGAGAACAGAAUUCCGUUCAUUGGAAUUCACUUUUUUCCUUCUUAUUCUUUGAUAAUUUUUAAUUUCCUUGUAUUGCUUUAUAACUUUAAGCUUACUAUUUAAGAUAAUUAUUACACUGAGACAAUCAGCCUGAAAGAUUCAAUUCAUUAAGCUUAAAUUCAAACACUUACAUUUGUUACUUUUCAUUGUACAAUAUUUUAAUGGCGAUACAAUCCAGCUUUCUGUCAUUUUUCAUAUCUUUUUACAAUUUCAUCUUUAUUUAAGGAUAUUUAAUACCAAUUUAAUGAUCAAAUAAAGAUCAAGAUUAUCAAUUAUUGCAGAUUAAACCAUUCCUCCAUUUUCACUUGAUAACCAAUGAGUUUGAUUAACCCCUGUUAAUCAGCUUAAAUGAUUAAUGAAAGGGACCAACCACUAAUUUACAGGAAAUAUUUAUAAUAAAUGUAACUUGUAAAAUUAAAGCAAUUUGUUUCCCUUUUUUUGAAAAAACGUUGUGACCAUUUUGUUGAACCAUUGAACAAUGUAAACAUUUUUACUCUCAACUAAAUAAUAGCGACACUAAUAACUGGUUAACAAUAUAAAAUUAAUCUUUUUGGUAAUUUACUUUGUGUUUCAGGCUAGUUGAUAACUUUAAUUAACCCCUAAACGGUUAAUUGUCUUUGGUUUCUUAAUUCAAAUUAACCAAGAUCUCACAAUACGAGCCUACCACACAUUAAUGUAAAUUUAUUCUUAAGGCAUACAUUAAAAGCAUUUGCAAAGUGCCCAGCGAUGAUGUUUCCAUUGCUGUUGAUGAUAAUGAUGACAAGGAAGAUGACGAUGAUGGGUAAUAAUCAUCAACCAUCAAACACUAACUCUUCAUGAGAAGACAAGAGAAAACAUUUGGUGAGAAAUGUUAAAUUAUAUGAUGAAAACUUCCGAGUGACAAAAUUGUAAUAAUGGAAAAAAAGGAGUAAAAGAAGGAAAAGUUUCCUGGAAAACACUUGCAUAUAUUUUGUCACUUCUUAUUAGUAUAAUUAAUAUGGUUCACUAAGUAAAGAUGAAUAAUCAGAAAAUUACUAUUCAUUAAUUUUCAUCCAAUAAAUCUGGUUGAACAUCUUAACGGUAAACAAUAACAAAUCCCAUGUUUAUAGCGCCAAAGUGAGGGACGAACCUUACAUUAAAAACAGUCAACCCAAUUUUGAGAUUAAUAAACCUGUGUACAUAUGUUUUUAUAAAUCGCGCUUGCUAUAGUAACUUGAUUAGUUUUAAUUAAUUUAUUCCUAAUUCGUUCAAAAUUAUUUAAAUUGUUUCUUUAAACUUUGGACAGUACCGUGAAUAGUAUCCAAUACAUAAUAGAUGGUCAACAUACUGGUGGCUAAAAACGAUCAUUGCCAUCACUUCUCGCUUUCAUCAUGUUCCAGCAUCGUAUUAACAGACCAGAAGGAGAUUCAUCCUACUCAUCAUCUACUUUUUACAUCAUGUUUCAACAAUAAUAAACAAACUGAUUGCUGCAAAACUAAUGACCUUGGAAAAGUGAAAUAACUAAGAAAAGGAAGAAGAAAAAGAAGAGCAAAAAAUGUUGAACAAAAAACACAACAAAACAACAAGAAAAAAAAUGUGUCUUCCUCAUCAUCAUUGUCCAAAUAACUGAUGAUCUUCUCUUUCUUUCUCUCUAUAGCUUCUCUUGGUCCUGUCGUCCUCUUCAUCCUCAUCAUUUCCAUCAUCAAUGAAGCCUUUCAUCCACAAAAUGAUCUGCAUCAAACCAUCCGCUUGGUUGGACAAAGAAGGCUGACCAUUCUUACCAUCCAUUGGACAAGUCACUUACUGUUUAAUUCACCUGGCUUUUUUUGAACCUUCAUCUUAGCCAGCAUGUUAAUGAUUCAAAAUAUAUCAACAUUCAUCUUUAUUCAGCCAUAAUUCAGCAGCAACAACAAUCAACGAUUCAUCUUCCCUGAAACUUUCAUUUUUUAUCUGGUUGUCCAUGAUGAAAGGCAAAAGGCGAGAAAACAGUUCUAAAGCAAUCUUUAUGAUUAUUGCAUUGGUCUUCUUGAAUCAUUUUUGACCAUCAAAUACAACGAAACCUUAUACAACAUUGUCAUAGAAAGGGAAAUCUUUCAAGAAUUGACAUUUGGAACUGACUACAGAAUGGUAACCCUGGCAAUUGAAGACUUACUCUUCAGACUUACAUAAGAUUCAAUUUGACCUGAAUAUUAGCAGGAACCUCGAAAAAAAAGGAAGAAAACAAGAGCAAAAUAUCUUUUUCUGUGUGUCUGAUGUAUCAACACUUAAUUGUAUUAAUGUUUGUGUGAAUGUUUAGGUGUUUACUGUUGUCUGAGACUAUCAGGAAGCUUGUGAGAAAUUGCUAUCCUUUUUAUUGAACAGUCAAGUUGACAAUUGGCAUUAGGAAAUGAACCAAAAUAGGUAACAUUGUAGUGGAAUACAUAUUUUGUUAUGAGAAGAUGAUUUCGAUUAGGAAACAGAUUUUUCCCAUUAAUCGAAUCAUUUUGCCUCAAAUCUUCCUGUCCAAUCUCAACAAAUACACCAUAUAAUACAAUAUAAUGUGCUGAAUAAUGAUAGUAGCAUAAUAGAUUUGAUUACUCCGGCAUGAGCAAUCUGUUUAGCUUGUAACAUUGAUUUUUAGGUUUUUCAUCGGCCCAUCAAAUAGUCACUGACAAUCAGAGAAAAGUUGUCCACUAAUUGACCUUAAACUUCACACUUUACACCUUAUGUUUGAUAGUUAACUAGUAAUUUAACAGUAAUUUUCCAAGUAGCCUUUUCGUGACAAUACGGACGAUUUUAUAUAAAUUGUAUUUAGUUUUGAAAGUAUAAUCAAAGUGAAUGUCAAUUUUCAGGUUAAAAAGAUAAUUUAGUGUGUUUGAUGUACAUUAUUG